Molecule: long non-coding RNA, 264 nt
Filed under: Gallus gallus (chicken)
Lineage: Eukaryota; Metazoa; Chordata; Aves; Galliformes; Phasianidae
Source: RNAcentral
AGGAGGUAAUUGUGAAUGUCUUCUACUAAUGCACUUACAGCUGAAUGAAAACCUUUAAGAUUAGGCGUGAGAACAGGAUAUUGGACUCCAGGAUGCCGCUCAAUGCCUCUCAUUACCUCUUUGUGAUCUGCCAUCUGAGGCACCCAUUUGGAUGAAACAAAACUGGUCACUUCUAUUGCAGGAAGGCCUGUUUUAGAAAGCCGGUUGAUUAACUCUAUUUUGGUAUCAGUUGGGACAAUCACCUUUUCAUUUUGUAAACCAUCC